Bolinopsis microptera is the source of this 1435-nucleotide long non-coding RNA. RefSeq lists it as uncharacterized. The transcript is spliced from 8 exons. NCBI's taxonomy places the organism in Eukaryota, Metazoa, Ctenophora, Tentaculata, Lobata, Bolinopsidae. The record is from RefSeq and is a predicted model, not a curated record.
UUCCUUGUAGUGUUCCGUUUGUGGUUGAAAUUGGACCGGUCUGUUUGUUCACGAUUUCGCAACGGAAUAUGGUAGUACUAUCUAAGACCCUUACGAUCAUAUUGUUGCCAACUUUGUUUCGCUGCCAUACUGUACUAUAUUAUUGGAAUGAAUGGAGACUUAACUCAAAGCGUGUGUAGGCCCGCUCUGCGUUCCCACAGGGAUGCCCGAUAAAUAAAGAUUUUUCACAUUGUCCAUUCGUGAACUGCAAUCGUACGAUUGCUAUAAACUUGUCUAAAUAGAAACGUUUCUCGGGUCAACUUUACGCUAGAUAACUGCAUUCUUUGCCAAGAGGUGGCAACCAAACAAAAAGUUACCCUAGUGUUGAAAUUAUCGACAAGCUUCUUAAGAAUGUCCAUGAUCGAGCAUCUUGGGAAGACCAAAAGGUACUAGAGACAUGCCAAAUUCUCUGACAAAUCUGACAAAACUGCCAUUGACCUGCUAUCCGGUUGGUAUUAUCGCCUCUGUUCCCUAAGUAAACGGUGCAAACGGCGAUACCAAUAAUCGAUUGAGUCAGGAGAACCCUGUCAGCUAAAUCGUGGUCCAGGAAAGCCUGCUAAUAAAGAUCCCCGCACACCUCUCCUGAACCUGAUGAAGGGAUACUUCAUACUAACAAGAUGUCAAGCAUUGCCGCCUUCAGUGUUCAGAUCGUAAAUUUGGUUCCAGUACUGUACUUUAUGAAAGAGUGUGUUGACGUUAGUACGGAUGCCACGGAUACUGCUCGAAGAUUGGCUAGACUUACUAUCAAAGGAACUUAAUGGAAAAUUAUAUACCAGGUUCGUGCUGGACUUCUCCGUGUCAACAAUCUCCAACUCCGGUGUCCUGUUUUUCGUCCCGUAGUGCUAACGAAAAGAAAAUGCUUCUCAAGUUCAACGACGAAAAGGUAACUGUCUAUCACUAAUCACUAUAUGCGAGGUAAACCUAUGGAGUUGGCAUGGAGGGCAGCAUCAACGAUGGGGUUACACAUAGGGACCCGAUCGACGAUAUAUAAAGUGAAGAGUUACAAGUUCUACAAGACUUAUCUGUUCACCGGUUUAUCAACUCAUGAUUUGGAAAAACUUAAUUCAUGAACUCGAGACUCUAAGUUACUGAGUUAUAUUAUUAUUUCGUGUAUUGCCGGGAAGGCUGUUAAUUUAGGAUAGAGUUUUUGUGGCACUUAUCUCAGUUUGUUCUUUUGUAGUUGUUCUCACACAGCUGAGUAAAAGUUUUAAAACUUGAGAGCAGUGUUUAUAAUUCAAUUUAUUAUUAAUUAGAAUUAAUUGGAGCAUGGAACAACUACACCCUUUGAAGCCUGGAAAAUACGGUAGAUCUAGUUAAGACUCAACAGUCAAUACAUGCUAUGUGGGGGAGAAGAUGGACGAACUUUUUCAAAAAGUAAAAAAGAGAUGACUGCCGG